CCUACGGGGAGCAGCAGUGGGGAAUAUUGCACAAUGGGCGAAAGCCUGAUGCAGCAACGCCGCGUGAGAGAUGAAGGCCUUCGGGUCGUAAAGCUCUGUCCUCAAGGAAGAGAAUGACGGUACUUGAGGAGGAAGCCCCGGCGAACUACGUGCCAGCAGCCGCGGUAAUACGUAGGGGGCUAGCGUUAUCCGGAAUUACUGGGCGUAAAGGGUGCGGAGGUGGUUUCUUAAGUCAGAGGUGAAAGGCUACGGCUCAACCGUAGUAAGCCUUUGAAACUGGGGAACUUGAGUGCAGGAGAUGAGAGUGGACUUCCUAGUGUAGCGGUGCAAUGCGUAGAUAUAAGGAAGAACCCCAGUGGCGAAGGCGGAUGACUGGACGGCAACUGACGCUGAGGCGCGAAAGCGUGGGGCGCAAACAGGAUUAGAUACCCCGGUAGUC
Molecule: ribosomal RNA, 439 nt
Filed under: uncultured bacterium
Lineage: Bacteria
Description: partial 16S ribosomal RNA
Rfam family: Bacterial small subunit ribosomal RNA
Source: RNAcentral